AAUACCCAAUUGUGAUAGUCCAUCUAAAUUUUUUGUCUUAUUUGUACUUGUUUUUAUUAUUAUUGAUGAGCUUCAUCUUCAUCGAGUUUUCUUGUAAAGCAACAAGCAUUAAAGCAACUUAUCAUCGAGAUGGAUCUCUUUACAUUAUUCGAUAUUUGUGAUCUUGAUCUUGCAAGCUUGAUUUGAUUAAUGGUUCUUUCUUCUCUAGUAUAGUACUUAUCUUGCUUCUUUCAUGCAAAAAUGGAGUGAAUUUUCUGAAACUUUACUUGUGGUUUGCAAUUUUAUUAAGUAACUUUUUCUUAAUACACACACUCUUAACACACACACACUCUUUAUUAAGUAACUUUUUCUUAAC
RNAcentral lists this long non-coding RNA (355 nucleotides) under Amborella trichopoda. RNAcentral describes it as "long non-coding RNA (ATRI_LNC000812)". The record is from RNAcentral. Lineage: Eukaryota; Viridiplantae; Streptophyta; Magnoliopsida; Amborellales; Amborellaceae.